RNAcentral lists this unclassified non-coding RNA (138 nucleotides) under soil metagenome. RNAcentral describes it as "partial internal transcribed spacer 1". The record is from RNAcentral.
CCCAGAGUUGUAGGCUUUGCCUGCUAUCUCUUACCCAUGUCUUUUGAGUACUUACGUUUCCUCGGCGGGUCCGCCCGCCGAUUGGACAAUUUAAACCAUUUGCAGUUGCAAUCAGCGUCUGAAAAACUUUAAUAGUUA